CCAACGGCCCUUUUCAGGGCCACCUACCCAGCCAGGAGAAAGAGU
Callithrix jacchus (white-tufted-ear marmoset) is the source of this 45-nucleotide non-coding RNA. NCBI's taxonomy places the organism in Eukaryota, Metazoa, Chordata, Mammalia, Primates, Cebidae. The record is from Rfam.